Non-coding RNA from Camellia sinensis, 1530 nucleotides. The record is from RefSeq and is a predicted model, not a curated record. Lineage: Eukaryota; Viridiplantae; Streptophyta; Magnoliopsida; Ericales; Theaceae.
AAACGAAGACUGCUUGCUAGAAUUGAGGGCAUCCAAAGAUCACAAGCCACUAAUUUCAACCACAACCUGCAAAUGCUAGAAAGAGAUUUGAUUAGACAGUAUACUACCACCUUGUUUCAAGAGGAGGUCCACUGGCUUCAAAAAUCUAGAACUAAGCACAUUACUAUGGGAGAUAGAAACACUAUAUCUUUUCACAUCUCUUCCAUCACUAAGAGAAGGAAACUAAAAAUUAAUGUGCUUAAAGAUGAUGAGGGAAAUUGGGUUUCUGGUAUUGAGGGAGUCAAAAGAAUUAUUGUGGACUAUUUCAAAGAGUUCUUUAGGGGAGAAGAUAACCAAAAUUUGGAGGAUUGGAAUGAUAUUUUCAUUGCCAAAUUCACUACAGAGGAUAAUGAUGGCAUGCUUAGAGACCUCUAACUAAUUUUGAAAUCUGGAAAGCUGCCAAAGACAUUAAAAGCUAUAAGGCUCCUGGUAAAGAUGGUAUUCAAGCUUUUUUUAAUUUUUUUUUAAUUUUUUAAUUUUUAAUUUUGUUUUUUAUCACAAGUAUUGGAAUAUUGUGGGAAAAUCUGUUUGUGAAUUUGUCAGAAAUUGUUUUCUCAAAAGAGAGAUUCCCAAAGACGUGAAUGAGACACUAAUUGUUCUUAUACCCAAAAUGAGUAACCCUAAUAACAUUAAGCAAUUCAGACCCAUCAGUCUUUGUAACAUUACCUAUAAGAUCAUCACUAAACUGAUUGUGAGCAGAAUUAGGCCUCUUUUGGAUAGUAUUGUUAGCCCAAACCAAAGUAGUUUUAUUCCUGGAAGAACUACUACUGACAAUAUCAUCAUAACGUAAGAAAUCAUCAAUACACCGAAUCUUAGGAAAGGGAAAGUAGGUGGAAUGGUCUUUAAAAUUGAUUGGGAAAAAGCCUAUAACAGAUUAUCCUGGAAUUUCAUAAAAGACACAGUUAUCGAAUUUAAUAUUGAUAAUGUUUGGAUUGAAUUGAUCAUGAGCUAUGUAGCAAAUGGGCAUUCAUUUGUACUUUGGAACAGGAAGGUACUUGAUGGCAUCAAUAAUGGGAGGGGAUUGAGACAAUGAGACCCCCUUAUCUCCUUACAUCUUUGUACUUUGCAUGGAGAGAUUGUUUAACAUGACCAAUACUAACGUUAGAGUUGGUGUUUGGAAGCGAAUUAAAACCUUGUUUUAAUUUGGCAACAGGAAGUUCCUUAGCUUUCAGGUUGAUAACUUGGAAUUUCUGAGGGAAAUGAGGAUCAACCCAAUAAAGGUUGCCAAAGCAUUAGUGGAAGUGUUUGCUGAAAUGAUUUUGAUGAAUAUGGGUGCAAGGUGUUAUGCCAGUUCAUUGAUAGAGUGGAGAAACACCCGAGCAAGAAAAUUGAUGAGAAGAUUGGCCAGUUCUGGAUUGUAUUUUUUUCAUAAAAGAACUUUUUUCAAGUUUUUAGUUGUAAUAACUUUUACAUGUAGCUCAAAUUUUGAGACUCAAAUAGAAUGUUCAAUAAAACUAUAAUGCUAUACUGUCUGAAUUCUUGUCAUUGUUA